UUUGAAGCAUUAAUAAACUUUAUUUAUUUCAGGUAAACCAACAAUAAACAACAUUUACAGAAGGACAUUACAUCUUCCAUAAUAACAUUACAUACAGGUCGUAACAAAUAGGUAAUGCAACAGCUAUUCUACUAUUAUAUCCUAAGUUUCAGUUUAUAAAGUGACCGGUAACAGUUCUUCUAUGUCCGAAACCACUUGUGAAAAAUGAUGUAUUUUCAGAGCAUUAUACAAAAAAAGAAAAAAUAGAUACGCAAGAGAAGCUUUUUUUUGUACUGUAAAACACAGAUUCAGUGUUGAGUACAGCGGGGGUUGCAUGUCUGGUUCCAAAACGCCUUUCCCAACAUAUACUGUACGUCUACGCAGUUAAGAAACUGACAAGGCCAAAAAAUAUACUGUAUGUGUAUAUAUCCAUAUAUAUUUAAUACGAAUCCUCUCUUUUAUGGCGCAAAGGAGACACGCGUGACCCUGUAUGUACGCAAACAUAGUACAAGCGUCACUAUUAAAUUUUACACAAGGCGUUUCACCUCCCCUUUUAUAUACAGCCUAGUGAGACAGUUUAUAACAAAGGAUACAAAAUGAUUAAAUAUUGACAUGUAUCUCGAAAUAUGACUCAGAAUGUGCACAUUCCGUAGCAUGGCCAGUAUAGCAAACAGAUCCAUCUUAAGCCAUUCCCCAAUUCAGAUUUGAAUGGUGUAUUUGUAAAUGGAUUUUAUUAAACAUCUGGAAGUUAACUUUACAAGCAAGAACCAAUGGUAACAUUAAAAUGCUAGUAGGCCCCAUUAAAAUGUUCAUAAUUUCGACCACCACAGUGCUCAAUGUGCAAUUUCACUACUUCUUUCCCAAGAUUUCCCUUCAUAGAGAAAAUGCUUUUUGUUCCCAAAGGAGAAAAAAAUAGCUUUCAGGAACUCCACCCACGCAGGCAGGCAGGUAGUCCAAUACAUAUACAGUAUUUUCAUGUUUAUGUGAUGUCGCGGGCAGGAGGCAAAGGAAGAAACUUCUGGGACACAAAGGCACAAAAUAAAAAGGGGGGGAAAGAAAAGUGAUAUGCCACACAGACAGAAAGCAGGAGAGUAACGUAUCAACAAUAAUUAUUCAGCUGCUUAAUACCUCCUGUAUCCCAUAAAGCCAUGCAAGGCCGAGCAGAGCGAGCUGGGCGAUCUAUCUCAGCAGAGCUCUCUGGUAUUAACCCUCCUCUGUCACACUGCUUCAGUCACCUGAAGACGCCACUCUACUCUCCAUCCUUCCUCACCGUCUUCACUACCACAACACAGAAUCUCUUGCCCCACCAGGAAUGACACUGAAGUUCGAUGAAAUCACUUCAAGUAUUUGUAGUAGUUCUCCUUAAAAAGUCUCACUGGGGUUGGAAACUGGGAUCUGUUGGCCUAUACUAUGGUUGACAAGGCAGGGCACUGAUAUUUCUAGUCUGUGCAGGCAAGGGCAUGUGAUUAAGGACAACACAGGUGCAAAAAGUGACAUUUUUAAUAAGCUGGAAUGUACAGUAGGGCAAGUAGAAAGUGCAUUCUCAAAAAGCUAAUGACACAAGUUGUCACUAUCACUGUGUUUCUCUGUCGUUGCCUUGAGUGCUCUAUACCACACCGACCACCACUAGAGAUGGUGGGUGUCACGCCCUGGUCUUAGUAUUUUGUGUUUUCUUUAUUUAUUUGGUCAGGCCAGGGUGUGACAUGGGUUCAUUUUGUGUUGUGUUUAUGUAUGGGGGUUUUUCAUAGGUUUUGGGAUUGUGGCUUAGUGGGGUGUUCUAGCAAAGUCUAUGGUUGCCUGAGGCGGUUCUCAAUCAGAGGCAGGUGAUUCUCGUUGUCUCUGAUUGGGAACCAUAUUUAGGCAGCCAUAUUCUUUGAGUGUUUCGUGGGUGAUUGUUCCUGUCUUUGUGUUAGUUGUCACCAGAUAGGCUGUAUAGGUUUUCACGUUCCGUUUGUUGUUUUUGUAUUGUCGUGUUUAUUCGUCAUUAAACAUGUAUCGUAUUAACCACGCUGCAUUUUGGUCCGACUCUCUUUCGACGGAAGAAAACCGUAACAGUGGGACAAUUAAAGCUGUAACACAACAUGGACUUGGCCAUAUGGAGAACUAUGUCAAAGCCUUCUACAAGACUCCUUUCCUUUUAGCGUGUCCUCCUCCUCCCUCUAUGAUAGACUAGCAGGUGAGGCAGGGCUGGAGAGGGACUGUGUGUGGCCAAGUGUCUACAGUAUAAUACCUGUGACUGUCUCUCAUGUAUUCUCAUGCGUGUGUGUGUUAGUGUGUGUGUGAGUGCACACACACGUCUUUCUAAGGGUGUCAGAGUGGAUUAAGAAAACGAAUCUCUCCUGAUCGUCAGUAUGUGUCCAUGUAAACAGGAUUAUUUGGGAAAUCGGUCUUCU
Oncorhynchus tshawytscha (Chinook salmon) is the source of this 2372-nucleotide long non-coding RNA. The record is from Ensembl. NCBI's taxonomy places the organism in Eukaryota, Metazoa, Chordata, Actinopteri, Salmoniformes, Salmonidae.